UUUUUGUUUCUAUUUUGAAACAGAUUUUUUUAAGUACUUAUUGUAAAUAUAUGUUUUAUAAUUGUUGAAAACCUUGGAAAUUUAACUAAAGCUUUAACUAGCAUGUGUAAAAACAACAUGGGUGAUUUUAUGUCCAAAAUAUCUGUGUUCUGUUAAAGUGUUUUUAGUUUAAUGUAAUAACACUUUGUACCACAAGAUGGUAUGCUGAGUCAAUAACCCAUUAAGAAAGUGUUUGUAUUCACCAGGUUGGCCUGGGAAAAGGCUCUUGACGAAAUAAGGAAGCUAUUUCAGCUAGGCUGCUACGUCAAAAAAACACCUACACACCCACUGUGUCAUCAUUUAUCAGCACUUCAGUUCCAGUCUGCCUGUCUGAAAACAUCUGUACAGCAGUGUCCAGCCUUUUAAGUCUCCCCGUCUUAAAUCUUGGGAACGUCAGCUGUUGUGAUAACAAUUUGUGUAAUACUGCUCUAACAACUACAACAUUCAUCUAUCUUCUAUUUGGACUCAUAUAUAUUAUCUAUUAGAAGAAAAUAAAAAGGCUUGAUACACCUUGUGAAGCAUAAGAAAGGCUCAGAAAACCCCUUUUUCAAGACCUGAUUUGGCUUACGAAAUCCAAAUUUAGAUAAAAGAGGCUGGAGUCUGUCUGAAGCUGAGGUUCAAUAAAAAGGCAUCAAUAUAAAACAAAUAAAAAAAUAACUGCAUACAUACCAAUAUUUGCUCGAUAUAUCAUACUUUCUGCAUGUUUUCUUUUUUCUUUUAAUUAUCAAGGGAAUUAGGCAUUUUAAGGCUUGUGUGAAAUGUUGAACUGUAGCAUUCCUUGUAGUAGGAAAAAUAGUAUCAAUAUCUGAUAAUAAUGAAGAUUUAACUGAAACAAUACUAAAGACUUUACAGGCAUGAACAAUCUACUGCAUAAGGGAUUCUUCAUGAAUGGCUCUCAAUGUAAAACCAGUAACAAAAUAGAUAAAAUUUAUAAAUCAAAAAUAUAUAAAUAAAAACAAGAAAAAAAUCUGUUUGAAACUGAUAUGAAUUUUAUUUAUUGUUUUGUUUUUCCAUGUCAUGCUGGUGGUCAUACUUAGGCCAAACAAAAUACAAUAAAAAUGAAGAAAUAAAAACAGAAACAUUUCCAUGGUGUUCAACCUGUGUUUGGUAAAGACAGUGUGCCUUGACACAUCCUCCAAUCCGUACUGUAAUUGGCUGUUAAAGUAAUGGCACAAAAAUCCACACACUUAUGGUACAAAAUGUAGCUGUAAGAGUUAUGAGUAAGAGUAAUGAUAAGAGUUGUG
This 1283-nucleotide long non-coding RNA is filed under the name Oreochromis niloticus (Nile tilapia). RNAcentral describes it as "lncRNA (ENSONIG00000028021.1)". The record is from RNAcentral. Lineage: Eukaryota; Metazoa; Chordata; Actinopteri; Cichliformes; Cichlidae.